UACGUAGGUGGCAAGCGUUAUCCGGAUUUAUUGGGCGUAAAGGGAACGCAGGCGGUCUUUUAAGUCUGAUGUGAAAGCCUUCGGCUUAACCGGGGUAGUGCAUUGGAAACUGGGAGACUUGAGUGCAGAAGAGGAGAGUGGAACUCCAUGUGUAGCGGUGAAAUGCGUGGAUAUAUGGAAGAACACCAGUGGCGAAAGCGGCUCUCUGGUCUGUAACUGACGCUGAGGUUCGAAAGCGUGGGUAGCAAACAGG
RNAcentral lists this ribosomal RNA (253 nucleotides) under uncultured bacterium. Its description in RNAcentral is "partial 16S ribosomal RNA". It matches the Rfam family "Bacterial small subunit ribosomal RNA", at positions 524 to 776 of the family's 1533-position model. The record is from RNAcentral.